Molecule: ribosomal RNA, 440 nt
Filed under: uncultured bacterium
Lineage: Bacteria
Description: partial 16S ribosomal RNA
Rfam family: Bacterial small subunit ribosomal RNA
Source: RNAcentral
GACGAACGCUGGCGGCGUGCCUAAUGCAUGCAAGUCGCACGCGGCACCUUCGGGUGCUGCGUGGCUAACGGCCGAGGAACACGGUGGGACCUGUCCGGGAGUGGGGGACAACACCGCGAAGGCGGUGCUAAUCCCGCAUACGCUCUGAGGAGGAAAGCCGAAAGGCGCUCCCGGGUGGCACUGCGGCCCAUCAGGUUGUUGGUGGGGUAACGGCCUACUAAGCCGAUGACGGGUCGCAGGAGUGUGAGGACGACCAGCCAGACUGGGAGUGGGACACGGCCCGGACUCCUACGGGAGGCAGCAGCAAGGAAGUUUAGGCAAGGAGCGCAAGUCUGACCGGGCUACGCCGCGUGCAGGAAGACGGCCUGCGGGGUGGAAACUGCUGUUGCUAGGGAGGAUAACAGACAGUACCUGGCGAAUCAGCCCCGGCUAACUCUGUG